Molecule: non-coding RNA, 29 nt
Filed under: Mus musculus (house mouse)
Lineage: Eukaryota; Metazoa; Chordata; Mammalia; Rodentia; Muridae
Source: RNAcentral
UGGAAAGGUGCCAUCUGCCUCUACAGGAC